AGUGAACGCUGGCGGUAGGCCUAACACAUGCAAGUCGAACGGCAGCACAGUAAGAGCUUGCUCUUACGGGUGGCGAGUGGCGGACGGGUGCGGAAUACAUCGGAAUCUACUUUUUCGUGGGGGCUAACGUAGGGAAACUUACGCUAAUACCGCAUACGACCUACGGGUGAAAGCAGGGGAUCUUCGGACCUUGCGCGAUUGAAUGAGCCGAUGUAGGAUUAGCUAGUUGGCGGGGUAAAGGCCCACCAAGGCGACGAUCCGUAGCUGGUCUGAGAGGAUGAUCAGCCACACUGGAACUGAGACACGGUCCAGACUCCGACGGGAGGCAGCAGUGGGGAAUAUUGGACAAUGGGCGCAAGCCUGAUCCAGCCAUACCGCGUGGGUGAAGAAGGCCUUCGGGUUGUAAAGCCCUUUUGUUGGGAAAGAAAAGCAGCAGGUUAAUACCCCGCUGUUCUGACGGUACCCAAAGAAUAAGCACCGGCUAACUUCGUG
RNAcentral lists this ribosomal RNA (492 nucleotides) under uncultured bacterium. Its description in RNAcentral is "partial 16S ribosomal RNA". It matches the Rfam family "Bacterial small subunit ribosomal RNA", at positions 29 to 507 of the family's 1533-position model. The record is from RNAcentral.